RNA transcript from Ornithodoros turicata, 2056 nucleotides. RefSeq lists it as uncharacterized. The transcript is spliced from 6 exons. The record is from RefSeq and is a predicted model, not a curated record. NCBI's taxonomy places the organism in Eukaryota, Metazoa, Arthropoda, Arachnida, Ixodida, Argasidae.
AUGUCUUCAGCGAAGCACAUAUUUACAGUUUUUAAACGAUCCAACACUGAUAUCGCGAUAUUCGGGCGUAACUUUUUGCUCGGAUGAAUGUGGCAGGCUCAAGGACGUCGGCGUCUCGCCGUCAGCGAGUGCGCAGCGCGGAGCAAUACAGCAUUGUCACCUGAGCCGCUAACUGGAAGCCCGCGAAAUUCUUUCCUCGUAGACGCAUGAGAUGCUCCGUGAAGUUUUAAGUGUUUAGAAGUGCAUCUAGUGUUUGGUCUUUGGCCGACUGUACGCAAAGCAAAGGUGAGUUUAAACUCUGCUUCGUUGUUCCAAGUCAAAUAAGCACCACUUGUAUGCAUGGUUGAAAAAAUUGUUUCGUUGCAGACGCGUUUCAGCAACGGUGUGCAACAGCAGGAGAGCAGUGUCUGUGUGUGUCACUGUGUGUGGAUCAUGAGUAGAAACGUAAAGAGUUGCCUAACCUUUAGUUAUUCAGGGGGAGGCUACUGAAAUAAUUUGUGUUUUGCUGUGAUCUCGCACUAAAAAUUGAUAAAUGUUGUGACUCUAUUUUCUCCCUUGGAGCUGGAGUAAAGAGAAUUACUCUCUUGUGGAAGGUUCACCUGAAGGUGUCCCAAUCUCCAAAGUGGAUAUCAUUCCGAUAUGGCCUGUUAUACUUUCCAUUGAAAUCUGUUGCAUUUGCACUAUAGGAAGGCCUCCUGUCUGCAAAAUUGCAAUCCUCUACAGUUUACAAUUCAUGAAAGAGGUCACAUUUCACAGUCUUUCCAGACAAAUGUACCUUUACUAGUCAAAGCGGCGUCAAAAUUUUCACCAGUAACAGUUUCCUGCUCGCACAGCUGAAGGCUGUACAUAAAUGGAUCCCUUUUUUGCACUCUCUUGGUAGGUGAUAUACGGGUGCACUUUGUUCCUGCAGAAAUUUUCAUCUCGUCGAGCUCUUUUCGGCCAUUUGCUAUCACAUGAAGAUUUUGCAAGUGGUGUUCCUUGCACCAUAGAGGGACCUAAUGCUGCUUCUAAGAACUAUAGAACCAAUUCCUCCAGGUGUCAUCCUGACGAAAUGCCAACACAUUCAACACAAAAAGUAUUGUCUCAAAAGUUUUGCUCUCUGACUUCUUGCAGCCAGCAGUGUGGACAGUGAGGAAGCACAUAUUGCACGCUGAAAACAUCACCUCAUUACAGAUGCAUCGUGCACUGUGAGUUGACAGUCCCUUCUUGUGUGCUUCGACAGUCACUAUUCAUGGGACUCAACAUACAACAGGACACUAUCUUGUGGUCUCCAGAGACGAGUACAACCUGUGCUAUGGGAAACUGGUACACAUCUUUGUGGAAACUGGCCCGGAGGCGUUUCUGAAGAUCAGGAGUAGAGAUCACAAAACGAAAAACUUGGUGUCAGUAACAUGUCUUGAGGAGCUAAUCAGAGUUGCUGUGGGUCAUCGAAUUUGUCAGGAAGGCGACAUACAGGUGUAUUUAGUGGAUGAGUUAUCACUUCGCUGUAUGGUUGCUGGUGCUGAGAAAUGCCUCGAUGACAUUUUCAUUGUUAAAAAUGGACUAUGGAAACAAGAUCAGUCAACAUGUGUGAGUGCACCUUCACCAAUCCCACAAAUGCCUCUGCUCUCACGAAUUUAUUACCCUUGGGAGAGCCUCAGCAAGACAGUACUUGAUGCAUUGGAAGCAGACAAUGUUCUGCUUCCCUCUCAACGACAGGAAGUGGCACAUAUGGCAGCGUCAUGGCCCUGCAUAUCCAUUGAAGGUGGGAGGCACUCCUGAUAUUUAUUCACAGGCACCUGGUUGGUAUCAUUGAGAACGAAGGGAGCCAGCAGGCAUAAAAAAAUCAAGAGGGUUACAUACAUAAAUGCGUGAGGCAGUGAGGGCAGCAGAUGAACAUAGCAAGAAGUGGGAACAUCUCAUGUGAUACAUAGCGGUCAAAUGUUCCGCCACCAAAGUCAUGCACAAGUUAUUUGUAGUCUUUCCAGUAAUUUCCAAAAUAAAGGGUUAUUAUUGAAAAGCUAUCCUCUCUGGACACACAAAACAUGAGAAUUGAACAAUUAACAAUGAAACAAAA